Molecule: long non-coding RNA, 2090 nt
Organism: Cynocephalus volans (Philippine flying lemur)
Lineage: Eukaryota; Metazoa; Chordata; Mammalia; Dermoptera; Cynocephalidae
Exons: 5
Source: RefSeq, a predicted model, not a curated record
CGCAGAACGUUAGGAAAUUAAAAAGGAGGAAGAAACGGGUCCGACUCCAGCCCUCGUCGGUGCAUCCCAAACGACGCGCAGGGUAUUCAUAAGAAUGGAAGCGGUGUUUCCUUGCCAGAUUCCUCAUUGCUGUAUCUCAUGAACCUACCUAGUCUUGGGGAAGAGACUUUAUUUAAUGAUGACAAACCUGUUACCCGUGUAGCACCAGCAGUGAGAGGACAAAAACAAAUAGAAAUAACACAUUUAAAUUAUAUUCAACAAGGAAGUCAUUUCAGUCAACAACUUCUGCUGCAUUAUUUUUCCAAGAUGAACUGCUACACAACCAUGAGACAGUGGGGGAUGGCACCUACGGGAGUGUGCUUAUGGGCAAGAGUAACGAGUCUGGGGAGCUUGUGGCCAUCAAAAGGAUGAAGAGAAAGUUCUAUUCUUGGGACGAAUGUUUGAACUUGAGAGAAGUUAAGUCUCUGAAGAAACUUAAUCAUGCCAAUGUGAUUAAACUGAAAGAUGUUAUCAGAGAAAAUGACCAUCUUUAUUUUAUAUUUGAAUAUAUAAAAGAAAACCUCUAUCAAUUAAUGAAAGACAGAGUGCUGACAACAUCCUAGUGACUUCUGAGCAACCGAGAUGCGAGCUGCGAAGGGUUGAAAGCUUCAUCCUUGGCCCGGACUUGGAGUUGAGGACAGUGGGCCAGGCUGGGCGGGUUGGGGAGACAUGGCCAUCAGGUCCCUGUGCCGUCAUCUCAGCAGCUAGAGAUUGACACCUUGGGAAGUGUACCCACAUGGGAAGAACCGACCCAUCAAUCAAAGACCCACUGAGCACUCUUGGGUGUGAGAACCUGGAUAUAACAUGAAGACCAUGUCUCAGCCUUGUCCUAGAAGAGCGUGUUGGUAAGAAUCUAGAACUGGGACUCUGAUGAAGGGUUGGUGUUAACUAUGGAUCUGUACUUGUUUUUUUUCUUUUCCUUGGUGGCUGGCAUUAGUUAUAAGGUGGCACUCUUACCAAUUGAGCCAACCAGCCACCCCUGGAUGUGUAACUGGAGGAAAAGCUAUCUAUGGAAAUCAAUUGCAACUUGAGUCUGAAACCAGUAGAUUAGUGGAUGAGGGUAAAGAACAGGUGACACAUGAGUUAUUUAACCAGAAAUUCAAGCAGAGACUGAGGUUGGGGCAUAGCAGACAAGCCUCAGAGAGCUGACCCUUAGUGCAAAGGUCCAGACUGGUGAUGGUCAGCUCUAGUAAGGGCAGGCAGGAGGCAACAGGUAACCAUACACAGGAGGUGGGAGUUGAGGGGAGGGAAAUUUAGCCCUUCGGUUCUGGGCCAGGGCAUAGUCAAUGGAACCGAGUCUUAGGUUAUGGGGAACAAGGUAUGACUUUAAAGAGCAAAAGCUGGAGCCCAGUCUCAGAGAGGAGAAAGUUCAAGUUUAGAGUGGGAGUCCAGUAGCAAGAUUACGUUAAAGAAGAUCUCUGGCCUAUGACUGAGGGCUGCUCACAGUUCACCUGAGGAUAAUGUAAUUCCUUAUUCUAUAGCGGGAUGAGACUCUACUUGGGAGUUGAGUAUCUGGAGUUCCUACGGUUGGCAAGAUAUAGGGAGCCUAACAGCUCUUCAUGGAAGAGCUGUGUCUCAUCAGCACAUAUCUGUCCAGACAUGCAUGUUGGGUCUCAGCAAGCUGGCCAAGAGCUUUGACUUUAGAGAAGGGAGAAAUUGUUUCAGGCUGGCAUAAUUGGUAAAGGUUUUUUGGAAGAGAUGAGAGCCAGACUCAGGAGUUCCCAUCUCCUCCCUGGUUCUCAAGGAUGGAGCGAGCCAGAUGGCAGCUCCUGAAAGCACCUUCAACACUUGGCAUCAGCAUUAAAUUAACUAAAUUCCCCUUUCAAAGACUUGCUUUCCUUAUUCGUGAAAUCAGAGUUUGUAAUGAUGUUUAAGAUCACUUUCUCAUCCUACGUCUGUGACAUGUCAUCAUUGCCUGGUGUCAGUAUGCUUGAAAAUGUCACUCACAAUCUUUUGUAAUUCCUGGUUUAAUAUCUGUUUUUGCAGAUCUCUGAGGGCAGUAAAUUUGUCUCUCUUUUUCAUGGCAUAUAUAUGCCAGAGAAACUGUCAUA